UGAAGCUCUAAGGUUCCGCCUGC
Molecule: microRNA, 23 nt
Filed under: Homo sapiens (human)
Lineage: Eukaryota; Metazoa; Chordata; Mammalia; Primates; Hominidae
Description: hsa-miR-3928-5p
Source: miRBase by way of RNAcentral